CAGGAGCGGGCGGGGGAGGCCGCGGCCAAGUUCGGGCCCCAGCUCCGGAGACCUGAAGCCCGGUCCGCUUGCCCCAGACCCGUCGCGUUCGCCGGUCCUCUUUGGAAAUCUCGAAAAAGGACACUUCGAACUCUGGAGGCCUCUUUUCUUUGGAAGCCCGGUUGGAUACGGCCUCCGGGAUGCGCACUCCCUCACACCUAGGAGUUGCCCGCGCCCCUAGAGGGCAGGAGCGCGGCCCUUUGUACUGGCCCGCUGUUCUGGCCCGAGAGUGUUUGCGGCCCAGAGGCGUUUCCCUGGGGGGGGGCGGUGGUGGGGGUAGCAGAUAAGCGGCACCUUCUUGGGUAUGCAGGCACACACCUCACUAUGUGUCACUGAGUCUCGGGCAGAAUGACUCUGUUUUCUGCACCAGCUCACGGCAGAAUCUUUGACUUUGGAAAACCCAGGUGAUGGGUAUCCUGGGCCCACCAACCUUCCUGAUGCUUAUCUGGCCUGUAGACACAGCGUGGUUGAGGAAGUGACCUAUCUGUAUCCAGACACCUUGGUGGGUAGGAGGCCAGCACCCCUCUCCUGCCACUGAUUUCAUGUCUGAGCGGCGCCGGCUGUGAGAAAAUUCUGUCGUUCACAGCGCUCUUGAAAAACCUCUUCCAGGAAUGUUUACCCACCGGCCUGUUCUGCCCCUGGGUCUCUACAGAACCAGUCUGGUCUCUUCCACAGAGAUGGAGUCCACAGCCUAUACUCUCAAUCUGACCCUAAAAGAAGAAGAAGAGGAAGAAGAGAUUCAGAGCCGGGAACUGGAGGAUGGCCCCACAGAUAUGCAGAAAGUCCGGAUCUGCUCUGAGGGUGGAUGGGUGCCCGCCCUAUUCGAUGAGGUGGCCAUAUAUUUUUCCGAUGAGGAGUGGGAAGUUUUGACCGAGCAACAGAAGGCCCUCUACCGGGAAGUCAUGAGGAUGAAUUAUGAAACUGUCCUGUCCCUGGAAUUCCCAUUCCCUAAGCCAGACAUGAUCACUCGGUUGGAAGGGGACAAGGAGUCUCAGAAUUCUGACGAGUGGCAGCUCCAAGGAGGACCUUUGGCAGAAACCGAAGAGUCGGACGUCAAGGCCGCGGACUGGGCGGGUCCCAUGGGCGCCGCCGCGCAGUUUCCCCAGCCCCAGCCCCUGGACGGGCUGGGCCUGCGGCUGCCCCGCGACCUCACGGAGCUGCCCGAGUGGAGCGAGGGCUACCCCUUCUACAUGGCCAUGGGCUUCCCGGGCUGCGAGCUCUCGGCGGACGACCUCGCCGGCAAGUUCCAGUUCAGCCGGGGCAUGCGGCGCAGCUACGACGCGGGCUUCAAGCUCAUGGUGGUGGAGUUCGCCGAGGGCACCAACAACUGCCAGGCCGCCAAGCAGUUCGGGGUGCUGGAGAAGAACGUCCGCGACUGGCGCAAGGUGAAGCCGCAGCUGCAGAACGCGCACGCCAUGCGCCGCGCCUUCCGCGGCCCCAAGAACGGCCGCUUCGCCCUGGUGGACCAGCGAGUGGCCGAGUACGUCAGGUACAUGCAGGCCAAGGGCGACCCCAUCACCCGCGAGGCGAUGCAGCUGAAGGCUCUGGAGAUCGCGCAGGAGAUGAACAUUCCGGAGAAGGGCUUCAAGGCCAGCCUGGGCUGGUGCCGGCGCAUGAUGCGGCGGUACGACCUGUCCCUGCGGCACAAGGUGCCGGUGCCGCAGCAGCUGCCCGAGGACCUGACGGAGAAGCUCGUCACCUACCAGCGGAGCGUGCUGGCGCUGCGCCGGGCACACGACUACCAGGUGGCCCAGAUGGGCAACGCCGACGAGACGCCCAUCUGCCUCGAGGUGCCGUCGCGCGUCACGGUGGACAACCAGGGCGAGAAGCCGGUGCUGGUCAAGACGCCCGGCAGGGAGAAGCUCAAGAUCACGGCCAUGCUGGGGGUGUUGGCGGACGGGCGGAAGCUGCCGCCCUACAUCAUCCUGCGGGGCACGUACAUCCCGCCCGGCAAGUUCCCGAGCGGGAUGGAAAUCCGCUGCCACCGCUACGGCUGGAUGACGGAGGACCUGAUGCAGGACUGGCUGGAGGUGGUGUGGCGGCGGCGGACGGGCGCGGCGCCCAAGCAGCGCGGGAUGCUCAUCGUCAACGGCUUCCGCGGCCACGCCACCGACUCGGUCAAGAGCUCCAUGGAGAGCAUGAACACCGACAUGGUGAUCAUCCCCGGCGGCCUGACCUCGCAGCUGCAGGUGCUGGACGUGGUGGUCUACAAGCCGCUCAACGACAGCGUCCGGGCCCAGUACUCCAACUGGCUGCUGGCCGGCAACCUGGCGCUCAGCCCCACGGGCAACGCCAAGAAGCCGCCCUUGGGUCUCUUCCUGGAGUGGGUCAUGGUCGCCUGGAACAGCAUCUCCAGUGAGUCCAUCGUCCAGGGCUUCAGGAAGUGCCACAUCUCCAGCAACUUGGAAGACGAAGAUGACGUCCUGUGGGAGAUCGAGAGCGAGCUUCCAGGAGGCGGGGAGGCGCCCAAGGAAUGCGAGGCGGAGGCGGCAGCGGAGGGCAACUGACCUGAGGGGAGAGCCCAGGUAAUGGGGGGCCCCAAGGACGCACUUGGCGCCUCCAGUGACAGCCCUCUUCGGGUUCCCCAGACACCCCUCCUCUUGCCGCUACUGUCUCCUGUUCCAAGAGCUCUCUAGCCUGGGGUAAGGGCGCCAUCGACGCCCGGCCAUCGGCUUCUCCCUGACAUCAGCCUGCCGUUGCCUGGCUUAUCUGUGGGUGUUGGACCGGGGAGCGCUUCUACGGUACCUAAAAUGAACAGAGUCAGCUACCAGAACAUUUCCUCUGAGCGCCAUCGUGCUCAAAUUAUUUGGGCCCGAAAGGAUAUAGUCUGACAUUGCUCAUUUAAACAAAAAGUUUUGUCCUGAAGCCAACUUCCUUCUUUCCCUUAUAAAUCAUGUUGCGCAUUUAGGGCGGGGUUAUGUUAUCUGAUGCCCUUGGAGUGACUGUGCUCCCUUUCUGGGGCCUGUAGGGCCGUCGUGGGGGAGAGCACGGCGUUGUGGGCCUCGGCUCUCCGUCCUGGAGUGGUCCGCGGAAGCCCACUGGGACGUGAGAACGGUAGCUUAGGCUUGCUUUUCCCUAGGAAUUCAGGGGUGUUUUCCAACGUCAUCUUAGUCUCCUAGUGACCUUCACGUGGAUGCAGGGAGCAGUUGCAGUAAUUUCUUGUAGUCCACUGACGUCUGAAGAGAGAGAUUUCUAAAUUGAAUCUUUGCACCAAAAAAAGAAAACAGGGCACAUAUCUAGGACUACAGUGAAUAAAGUCCAAGGACUAGGACAAUAGGCCUGGAAUUUUCAGAGUUGAAUAUAGAAGGGGAGCAGCUUUAAGAGGAAGUGGGGAGUGGGGACUGAGAGACGACACCGGUGACUGUUCACCAAAGUGAACAAGUGGAGGGGAGCCUCCACCCCCCCCCAUACACAGCUCAAGAUGAGAGAACAGCCCACCAGCAAUUGGAACUAUUUGAAACAGGUGAGGAGGAGAAUCCUCGAGAAGAUUCCUCAGUGUGGAUGCACAGGGCGCAGCAAAAGGCCACAGGGCUCUGGACAGCAGCCCGUGUACCCCACCCCAUGACACAGCCCAGCCCCGCUGCCCAUCCACAAAGUGUCAGAAAAGGUGUCUGGGACUCUGAGUUCAGCAGAGACAAUGAUUAGGGAAGAAAUGGCUUCUGUCCCUUUUUUUUUUUUUUUUUUAAG
Molecule: RNA transcript, 3726 nt
Organism: Enhydra lutris kenyoni (northern sea otter)
Lineage: Eukaryota; Metazoa; Chordata; Mammalia; Carnivora; Mustelidae
Gene name: pogo transposable element derived with KRAB domain
Exons: 6
Source: RefSeq, a predicted model, not a curated record